This 983-nucleotide small RNA is filed under the name Pongo abelii (Sumatran orangutan). RNAcentral's name for it is "retained intron". Lineage: Eukaryota; Metazoa; Chordata; Mammalia; Primates; Hominidae. The record is from RNAcentral.
AGGUAGUAAGUAGUAGAGCAGGGACUCAAACCCAGAGCCCAUGUGUUUGUUGACUCUGCUGCUCUGGAAUCUGCAUUUCUUGCCAAGAACUUUAAGAAUAGAACACCAGUGUUACUUCACUCCCCUUUGUGGACACCAAGAGGAAGAAGAAUAUGGUAAGCUUCCCACACAUUAGUAAGAAAGUCCUGCUGAAGUCAUCCCUGCUGUAUCAGGUGAGUGCAGAUGGACUGGACCCUGAGAAGGCAGGUGAAAGACCUGGUUUUAGUCCAAAGCCAGUUUUAGAAAAGCCCAGGAUGGUGGGGAAAAGCAUAGUAGCCGCUGAAGAGGAGAAUCAAGCUCACAAUCAGAUGCCGGCCUCAGAGCUCAAGGCUUCAGAAAUACCUUUCCACCCUAGCAUUAAAACCCAGGAUCCCAAGGCAGAGGAGAAGUCACCAAAGAAGCACAAGGUGCCUCUGACAGCCGCAGGUAUGCCUUUGGGGCAGUAGCAGGGUGGGGAGGUGGUUAUGGAAGGUCAGGGUGUUAAGAGCUAAGCUGCGCCGGAGUGAGCUAAGCUGCCAGGUGUCAGAGUAGUCAAUGAAGGCAGCCAGCCAAGAGGAAAGUAGAAGUUAAGCGUUGAACCUCUGACUGUGGUAGUAUAAGCAAGAGGCUGAAUAGGAGGCUGAAUUUCCCCCAUGGAGUGGCUCUGGGCAAGGGCGGGAUGUACCAAUGCAGACAGAAGGAAGUGUCUCAUUUGCCUAAGGAGCCCAGACACAAGGCUCCUGUCAUUUUAUGGACCCAGGGGCCAGGGGGAAGGCAGAGAGAGUGGAAGAGCUAGGAUUGGAAAGGUACUGAAUACUGAGAGCAGAGCACAGGGUGCUGAAGCUUGCUCCUUCUUCUUGAUAAGGAGGUGUUGGAGAGGAGCCUCUGUAGGGGGAUCUUGGUUAGAAAUGCAGACAUGUAGAAGAGCAUGGCCAGCCAGGGGUCUCAGUCCUUGGCUGUAGCUU